RNAcentral lists this ribosomal RNA (631 nucleotides) under Gonoclostera timoniorum. RNAcentral's name for it is "eukaryotic LSU rRNA". Lineage: Eukaryota; Metazoa; Arthropoda; Insecta; Lepidoptera; Notodontidae. The record is from RNAcentral.
GGGGUAAACCUGCGAAACUCGAAUGAACGAACGGAGAGAUUCAUCGUCAUUUCGCGGCGUACGGCCGCGCGCUCGAUGCCCUCGGCCUCGGUCAAUGGGCACGUCGCGCGUACGUAACGUCCGCGGACGGCGUGCACUUCUCUCUUAGUAUCCACAUGCAUCGCGACCCGUUAGAUGUCGAUCUAAGCGCCGCCCGGGAGCCCCAUUGUCACCGGCAACGGUGGCGGUGGGACCGCGGUGGACGCCGACCGGCUGUCUGACGGUAGUUACAAUGAAACGUGCACGCGUUCACGCGCGUCCGGCCCGACGCAAGUCAACGUCGUAUCCGACGCUCCGCCCGAGUGCGGGCGCUGGUGCGGCGCGUCUGCUGUCGCAGCCGUGUGUCUCGGACUGUGCGCGUCUCUGUCAGCGAUGAUUCAGUUUCGGGCACUCGCAGGACCCGUCUUGAAACACGGACCAAGGAGUCUAGCAUGUAUGCGAGUCAUUGAGUAUAUUUUGACAAAACUGAAAGGCGUAACGAAAGUGAAGGCGUGCGCUCGUCGCGCGCUCAGGGAGGAUGGAGCGUCGGUCUAGGUCGACCUCUCGCACUCCCGAGGCGUCUCGUUUCCAAUCUGUGAAUGCAGGCGCGCUC